UACGUAGGGUGCGAGCGUUAAUCGGAAUUACUGGGCGUAAAGCGUGCGCAGGCGGUUUGCUAGGACAGGUGUGAAAUCCCCGGGCUUAACCUGGGAACUGCGCUUGUAACUGGCAAGCUAGAGUGUGGCAGAGGGGGGUGGAAUUCCAGGUGUAGCAGUGAAAUUCGUAGAUAUCGGGAGGAACACCGGUGGCGAAGGCGGCGACCUGGGUCGAUACUGACGCUGAUGCGCGAAAGCGUGGGGAGCAAACAGG
Molecule: ribosomal RNA, 253 nt
Filed under: uncultured bacterium
Lineage: Bacteria
Description: partial 16S ribosomal RNA
Rfam family: Bacterial small subunit ribosomal RNA
Source: RNAcentral